AACGCACCUUGCGCUCCUUGGUAUUCCGAGGAGCAUGCCUGUUUGAGUGUCAUGAAUUUCUCAACCUUUCUAGCUUUUUCAGCUGGUUAGGCUUGGAUCUUGGAAGUUGCUGGCUUCUCACGAAUCAGCUCUUCUUAAAUAUAUUAGCAAAGACCUUUGCUGACCAUCUUUGGUAUGAUAAUUAUCUAUAUCAUUGAUAACCAGCUUCCUUUAUGGAGAGGUUUUGCUUCUAAUAGUCGUUUGACAACUUGACAAUUUGACCUCAAAUCAGGUAGGACUACCCGCUGAACUUAA
RNAcentral lists this unclassified non-coding RNA (294 nucleotides) under uncultured Entoloma. Its description in RNAcentral is "sequence contains ITS2". The stretch from base 1 to 52 matches the Rfam family "5.8S ribosomal RNA", at positions 103 to 154 of the family's 154-position model. The record is from RNAcentral. Lineage: Eukaryota; Fungi; Basidiomycota; Agaricomycetes; Agaricales; Entolomataceae.